GAUGAACGCUGGCGGCGUGCCUAAUACAUGCAAGUCGAGCGAACGGACGAGAAGCUUGCUUCUCUGAUGUUAGCGGCGGACGGGUGAGUAACACGUGGAUAACCUACCUAUAAGACUGGGAUAACUUCGGGAAACCGGAGCUAAUACCGGAUGAUAUUUUGAACCGCAUGGUUCAAAAGUGAAAGACGGUCUUGCUGUCACUUAUAGAUGGAUCCGCGCUGCAUUAGCUAGUUGGUAAGGUAACGGCUUACCAAGGCAACGAUGCAUAGCCGACCUGAGAGGGUGAUCGGCCACACUGGAACUGAGACACGGUCCAGACUCCUACGGGAGGCAGCAGUAGGGAAUCUUCCGCAAUGGGCGAAAGCCUGACGGAGCAACGCGGCGUGAGUGAUGAAGGUCUUCGGAUCGUAAAACUCUGUUAUUAGGGAAGAACAUAUGUGUAAGUAACUGUGCACAUCUUGACGGUACCUAAUCAGAAAGCCACGGCUAACUACGU
RNAcentral lists this ribosomal RNA (496 nucleotides) under uncultured bacterium. RNAcentral's name for it is "partial 16S ribosomal RNA". It matches the Rfam family "Bacterial small subunit ribosomal RNA", at positions 28 to 506 of the family's 1533-position model. The record is from RNAcentral.